Molecule: ribosomal RNA, 254 nt
Filed under: uncultured bacterium
Lineage: Bacteria
Description: partial 16S ribosomal RNA
Rfam family: Bacterial small subunit ribosomal RNA
Source: RNAcentral
CACGUAGGAGACGAGCGUUAUCCGGAUUUACUGGGCGUAAAGCGCGGGUAGGUGGGGUCUUAAGUCAUGCGUGAAAGCUCUCGGCUUAACCGGGAGAGGUCGUGUGAAACUGGGAUUCUUAGAGGUAGGUAGAGGCAGAUGGAAUUCCGGGUGGAGUGGUGAAAUGCGUAGAGAUCCGGAGGAACACCAGUGGCGAAGGCGAUCUGCUAGGCCUGACCUGACACUCAGACGCGACAGCAUGGGGAGCGAACGGG